UCCUAGACCAAGUUUUCAUGGUACUCCCU
Molecule: non-coding RNA, 29 nt
Filed under: Homo sapiens (human)
Lineage: Eukaryota; Metazoa; Chordata; Mammalia; Primates; Hominidae
Source: RNAcentral